GGCAUGGAAAAGGCUUAGCUGCUAAAUAAAAACAAUAACAAUUAUGUUUAUUACAUGGCCACAGUCAGCCUGGAGAGACGUUCAUGAGAGACCUCUUUUAUUACAUUAAUUAAGAUAUGAUAAUCUGGAGAUAAAGUAAUACAGCCACUAGUGAAGAGGCCAUUUAUAUUAAAGCUCAUUAAUUCCUUCUCCUAAUUGCCAUUAAUGAACUUAUUUUGAAGAUCUUUCACUAUCUUUGGGUCCAACUGGAAUGCCUUGCCAAGAAAAUCGGGAUUGAUUGAAGGAUUGGCUCCAAAGACUGUGUCGGCUAUGGUAACUUCACCCGGGAAUUGGCUGUUUAGAGCAGAAUAGGCAGCUGCAUUUGUUUUUCCAAUGUUGAAUUGGAAGUGAAUCAAACCUUGUGGAAACACAAAAACAUCUCCCUUAUUUAGAACUUUUGCGAUGAGUGUGUUAUUCAGUUGGUCUGAUGUCACAAAACCGACAUAAAGAGUUCCUUCCAGGACUAAGAAGAUUUCGCUGGCACGGGGGUGAAUGUGAGGUGGCCUUUGGCCAUAUGGUGCAUAGUCAAUACGGAAUGCUGAUAUGCCAAGGGUGUUGAGUCCUGGAAUUUGCUCAACAUUUGCAUCUGUUUCAUCAACACCAAGUCGAUUUGCUGUGUUUCCAGGCUUGCCUAGCCCUGAGAAGAAGAAAUCUUCUGCUCUCGCAAGCUUGGGGUCCUUGCAGAACUUCCCAUUCACAAACACUACAAGAACACACACAUACACGCACAAAGGGGGGGGGGGGGGGGGGGGGGUGAGAAUAAUGAAGUACCCGCACAAAUUAUAUUGAAAAUUAUAUGUUUCAUCAGUUCAGUUUACGUACCACCAUCCUUGGGGUCAUUGAUGGCUACACAGACAUCUUGAAGAUGGCCAGGGUCAGUGGCAGAGGCCAAAGAAGAAGCCAAAGCCAAGAGGGCAAAACCUAUAAGAAAUUGAAUUACCUUCAUGGUGAUUAAGUCACAGGAUGUGCCUAUCUCAAACUUUAAUCAAGUGUUGUGAUUUGAGAAUCUUGUGAGGAACUAGACUAUUUAUAGAACCAAGUCCAUGAACGAGUUUGUGUGUUCAAUUAUUAGUCCUCGAAGCAAGUCAAGACUUAUUGGGUCCUUAAUAAUAUAACUUUGUAAUGUUUUGCAUCCCUCGUUUUCAUUUGUUUUUCAAAAUUUACAUCUAGAACUUGAUUGAUGGUACACAUCUUAAAUAUAAAUUGUAAAACAUAAAAAAUAAUGUUUGGCUGACAAUGAUAUAACUUUGUAAUGUUUUGCAGCUCUCAUUUUCAUUUUUGUUUGUUUGCCGGUACACAUAUUAAAUGUAAAUUGGAAAACAUACAAAUCAAAGUCUGGCUACAAUGAUAAAUGAACCGACCCGCUUCGAAUUUUUCUGGGUAAAUCAAUCUAGUCUCAUCAAAACUGACUUGAUAUUAAUCUAAUUAAUGAAAAUUCUGUUAAAAAUUCAGCACUUUUUUAUAAAUAUAACACUCUCAAUAUACAAAUAUGAAUAUAACACUCCCCAAAAUAAUUUAAUAUACAACCAACUCUAAUGAUCAACAUUCUCAAUAAAAAUACUAAAUUUUAGUAUUUGACUCAAAAUAUCUAUAGGGUAUCAAAAGAUUAUAUUAUAACUAAGAGAAAUUAUCAUUGCACCACCUUUAUUUUGUCUUAUGUUUAUCCAACUACUACAAAAUUUUAACAUGUACUUUGCACCACUUUUCUUUUCACAUUUGUAUCAACUAGUCACUUUACAUUAACACUAUUAAAUAAUUUUAAUAAAAUGAUAAUUUUACCCUAAAUAAAUUAAAAGACCAUUUUAUUUUAUAAAAAAUUUAAAAAAUAAAAAAAUAUAAUGAUAAAAAUAUCCCUAAAUUUAAUAAAAAUAAAUCCCAAAAUUAGAAUUUUUAUUUUUAAUAAAAAUUAUUUUAAUAUAAAAUUAUAAUUAUAAAAAUAAUUACAAAAUUUUAGGAUUUAAUAAAAAUCUCCUAAAUUAUUAAAAUUUUAAAAUUUAUUCUUUUAAGAAAUAAAUUAAGUUAUUUUAAUAAAAUUUUACAAAUUAUAAUUUUUAAUAAAUAAAUUUAUUUAUUUUUAUUAAAAUUUUUAAUAAAAAUAAUUAUUAAAAUUUUGUAAAAUCUAAAUUUAGUAAAAAUCAGUUGAACACCUCUAUUUGAGAUUUAUUUUUUUAUUAAAUUUAGGGAUAUUUUUAUGAUUAUAAUUUUUAAUAUUAAAAAUUUUUAUAAGAUAAAAUAAUCUUUUAAUUUAUUUGGGGUAAAAUUAUCAUUUUAUUAAAAUUAUUUAAUAGUGUUAAUGCAAAAGUGACUAAUUGAUACAAAUGUGAAAAGAAAGGUUGUGCAAAAUACAUGUUAAAAUUUUGUGGUGGCUGAAUGAACAUAAGGCAAAAUAAAAGUGGUGCAAUGAUAAUUUCCCUAUAACUAAUAUUAACAUAUUUGUUUAUUCUUAAUCCCAAAAGAAUAAUAUAACAAAAUUAUACAAUCCCAAAAGGGUGAGAUGAUCCGGAUGUCCUAACAAAAAAAUCAUUUAUAUCUUCUAAUAUCAUCACGUGGCCAAAACUCAAAAUAUAUUUACAGCCGCUGGGUCGGUUUGGUGUACCUGCAACCUCCUGUUGAGGGGAGGAAAAUAUAAUAAAAACCGGAUGAGUAUAAAACUCAGUGAGCUUAGUGAGUGUAUAGUAAUUUUUGAAAACAAAUUUUUACUUUAAAAGAAAUAAUCAUAUCAUUUCCAAACACAGUUUCAUCAAACCAUAUGCGAGAAACCAGUAAUAAAUCAUUUAACAUUUAAAUCAUAUUACCAACCUUGAAAAGCAUAUAUAAUAUCGUAGCUAAUAACCAUGGAAAUCAUAUCACAAUAUCAUAUAGAAUACACAAAUAUGAAAAUCAUCACUAAACAAGUACCAAGGGGAAUAAUCUCAUCGUAUCCGGACCUCAACGGAUGGGCAAUGACGUACUAUUUAGAUAUUGUCACACCCUGGAGCUACACGGAUAGACAAGAAAAUAUCAUCUCAUAUCUCAUGAUAUAUGUGCAUGUAUAAUCUAGUCCCCAAAUGACAAAAGCGCCCAAGCACAUGGUCCAAAGCCUCUAUGUGUACUUAGACGAGCCCACAAUGCAUGUAUCUCAUAUGUAUCAUCUGUAUAUGUAUCACUGUUAUCAUCAUAUCACAUGCAUAUGCCCCCAAAAGGCAGAAGUGCCUAAACACACGGCCCAAAGCCUCUAUGUGUGUUCAGACUGGCCCCAAAGACCUCUCAUCUCUAUACUUAUAAAAGAGAAAUGUAUUGUCCAAUGAUUUUAAAAACAAUCUCUAUACUCAUAUUCAUAUAAAUUAUAAUCAUACAUUUCUUUUUAUUAUCACAUCUAAAUUCACUUUUCUCAUCUUUAAAAUACCAUAAUAUUUUAUUCAAAGUCGAUACGAAAAAUUAUUAACGAAACAUUUUAAUAUAAUAUCAAUGCGUGAAUAAAAUCCAUUUCAAGAAAAUCAUUAAAUCAGAACAUUUAAAAUACUUAUUUCACAAACAUACUUUACUAUCAUAAUUAAUUAUGAAAAUAAAUUUUGUAUAUUCCACUCACAGUGACGAUGUUUACGCUCGGUUAUCGUCCACAUCCGCGGACUGGCUCUCACUUGCGGAUCCUCCUAAAUCAAGAAAACGACAUAAUUAUUUUCUAUAAAUCAGAAUUAGGACUAAAUUUAUGCAACAAACUCGAAACAAACAUCUAUCCAUAAUUUACAACUCCCGUAUCGAUAAAAUUACUAAAAUACCCUUGAAUAUGUAAAUCAUUAAGAUACUUCGAAAUUAUAAAUCACCGAAUUACCCUCGGAAUCAUAAUUACACCCAAUCCUCAAUUUCAGGAAUUACUGAAAUAUCCACAGGCUCAGAAAUUACAAAACCGCUAUCAAAAUGUGAAAUUACCGAAUUGCCCUUACCGGUCAACGGUGGCCGGAAUUCAAGCAACGGUGACCGGGAAGCUCAGGUCAGACGCUUCUCGCUGAGCUGAGUUCAAUGAUACCGGCAGUGUGCUCCCACGCGUGGCGACGGCACCAGAAUCUAGCUCGACAGUCGUGUUACUACAACGGCUGAACCACGACGAAUCGACGGCUCUUGGUGGGUGUGGAUGGUCAGAAAAUUAAAAGGGAGUCGUGGGGAACAAAAUGCAGCCGGUGCUGUCACCCAAAACCGGUGAAAAUCUCAACAGAGCAAGGUGGAAAAAUAGCGGGUUUUUCAAGAUUUGGUCACCGACGUUCUAGCUGUUUUCCGGCGACGUGGACGAUUGGGGCAUGAUGGCCGGUCUGCAAGCUUCAGAUUGGUACCAAACUUGACCGGUUGGGUGGCCGGAAUCACAAGAUAUCGCCGGGUCGAAUUUCAGGUCAAACGGGUCGGGUUUCGGGUCGGUUUACAGCUUCUCUCACUCUCUCGCACGUGUGUGUCUGUUUCCCUGUGUCAAACUUCUUCUUUUACUUUUAUUUACUUUUUAACCGCCUCAUCUUUUUUUUUUUUUUUUUUCCACGUGUGUUACAAUAAAACCCAAAACAGGUUAGACACGUUUCCACCAAUCUUCAAAACGAACAUAAAAUAUAAUAAGAAACAAUAUUUUAACGCGUUUCCAAAGCAUAAUUAAAAUAUAAUUUUUUCAUUGGAAAGAAACGAGUUGAAGAAUUUAUGAAAAUGGGUGAGAAACAAAUUCAAGUCUCUGGCCACAGGCUAACAGUUGAGAGUCAUGUUCUGUAAAUAUCGAUGUUACCGGACUUGAUUGGUUUGUUGUUGGACUUAAUGAAGAUGCAUUAUUAGCCAUUUUUUCUUUUUCAUAUCAAUUUUCAUAGCUGCUUUAAUCAUUUUUAGUUAUGAAUGCAUUACCAAUGAUGCACUUGUUUUUUUCAUUACGUGUUAAAAUAUUGUUUUCUGUAAAUAUCGAUGUUACCGGACUUGAUUGGUUUGUUGUUGGACUUAAUGAAGGUGCAUUAUUAGCCAUUUUUUUCUUUUUCGUGGCUGCUUUAGCCAUUUUUUCUUUUUCGUGGCUGCUUUAACCAUUUUUAGUUCUAUGAUUGCUUUACCAAGUCAAUGAUGCACUUGUUUUUUUUCAUUAAGUGUUAAAAUACUGUUUUCAGUGGUCACGUUAAUUGAUAUAUAUCAUUUUCCAUCUUAUUUUCAGUGAUCACAAAUCAAAAUGUGAAUAAGCUGGUGUCGGCACGUUUGGUUAGAGAUAGUGAUAUCAUUUUCCAAUGUCAAGUGAUAUAUAUCAUUUCAACUUUAAAAGCUAAUUUUAAUAUUUAAUAAAUAUUUUUACAAAUAACUUUUAGUAAAAUCAUGUAAAUUUUGAAAAAUAGAAAAAAAUAGUUUUUUAAAAUCUGAUUUCGAGAAUCACUUUUAUACUUAAUAUAUAAUUUAUAUAUAUCCUCAUAUAUAAGACAAAAAUUCAAAAUCAUCCUUAUUAAUUAGAAAAUAAAAUUAUUAAUUUAAAAAAAUUAUUAUUAUUAUCAAUUAUAUUGAGAUAACAAAAUAAAAAAUAAAAUUGAUAAUAUAAAAUAUUUAUUUUAGUUAUCAAUUAUUAUAUAUACACAACUAAAAAUAUUUUAUUUACAUGUUUAUAAAUGUGUAAUUAAAUUUUAUUCAACAAAUGUUCACUUCACUUAUUUAUAUUCUUACAACAUUUUAACAUUAAGAUUUACCAAAUACAUACAACCGCUUUUAAAACUCACAACAUUUUUAAAAAUAAAUUUUACUAAACUUUUAAUUGGUUCUCUAUUAUAGCUGAUUAUUUCUACAGUAUGACUAACAAUAAUUAUUUUAAAAGAUAUAACAUUAUUAACUUAGCCCUUAGUGACUCAAUUGAUUAAAAUUAAGUCAAUUAAAUCACUAAGUUAGGAAAACAAACCGCCCUUUAGUUACUUUCUUAAUGUAAAUAUUAGUAAAUUAUAAUGCAAAUAAAGAUAAUAAUCUCUUCCUUUGUUCACUUUUUUAAUUAAAAUUAGUUGCAUUAGCUAUUUUGAAUAACAAAUUGAAUUGAUCACGAAAUAAUAAUCUCUUCUUCCAAUCAUAUGAGUGGGUUUGAGUGACUCAGGUAGUCAUGGGAAUUUGUUUUCUUUGAUUUCUACACUUGGCUUUUUAGGAUUAUUUGUAAGGACAUUAAUUAUGUAUUUUUAAUGGGUUUAUAUGUUAAUUAUAUUGCAUGUAAUAUUAAAGGUUUGUCAACAAGUUGGCAACCAUUUAAGAGUAUCUCCAAAAAUCUUUAUAAAUUUUAUUCUUUAAAUAUCUAUUUACUUACCUAUGUGACAAAUAGAAUGAUGAAAAAAUAUGAUAUUCUCUAAAAGUCUCUUCAAAUAGAAAUAGGUUAAUAUUAUUUUAAUCAAAUAAUAAUUUUUUUAAAGGAAAAGUCAAUAUCAAUUAAAGCACUUAUCUCUCUUUCUCCAAUGAAAAGUAAGAAAACAUAAAUUGAAGAUGGAGAAAUCAAAUCUCCAAAUUUAAAAAGAGAUAAUCAUUUUUUAUUUAAAAAAUCUUAAUUGAAGUGUCUUUUGAAGUCGUAAAUAUUGAUGUGGCUCUUUAAAUAAGUAAUACAAGCUUAUUUGAAGAGCGUUUUGGUGAUGCUCUAAUUAGUUAAAAUGCAUUCAUGUCAGUAUUUAAGAUACGUAUCACUUUCUGGCAACAAUGUUAAUAUAUGUUUCCGUUCGAACUUUCCACUUGCUGCUUGACCCAUGUAAGUUAUGAAAAAGUUUCCGAGAAUUGACUUACAAAAGGAUGCUAAUCUCUUUUCUUUUUCUCUUUUUUCCGGGGGAAAUUGCAGGUCAAGAAUCUGGAGAGGUCAUAUUUCAAAAUGUCAAGGCUCCAUUGUUCUGGGCAGAAGCCCCAACACUUCAAAGUAACUGAGAAUGACUUGGACUUCCCUUGCGAUAGAUAGGUAGACGGGAAGGGAAACGGGAUUGCAGAUAAAAGCAAAGAGAAAUAAUAGAACGAUGAUUAUUGUAUUCAGAAGAAAUUGUUUCACCUUAUUCAAAUGACGCCAUGGCUGUGUUUGUGAUGUCAGUGCUGACGAUGGAUUGUAGUUUGUGUCCAAAUGUACCUUUUUCUUUUUUUAGGUCUGAACCAUCUGGUAUCCGGCGAUCACAUUGGGCCCCGACUACUCCGGAUUCGGGACGGGUGCCAAUAAAGCCCUCCCAACGAGAGCGACUCCCAGAGAACUCGAACUGAAGAGCUAACCCAAUCGACCCACCUAAGGAGUUCAGCCGGCGCCAGCUGAACCAACACCUCGUUGGUUCCAAAUGUACUUUUCUAUGUAUAAGGAUUCGUAAAAAACGUUGGAGAUUAGAAAAGAAAAUAAAUAGAUCCUUCCUCAAGCUGUCGGUGCUCUUCUAUUAGAGUUGGGACCAGUGGCACCUCUUUAAUCUCAUCAUGAAAUUCCUUUUUCAGUUAUAUUUACUUUAUUUGUGAUAAUGUCUUUUUUUUCCUUUUUUUAUUUUAAGAACACUUUUAAUUUUUUAUUUAAUUUUUUUAGUUAAAACUUUAAAAGUAGUAGUGUUAUUCAUUUUUUAUUUCUUUUGUAAUCUUAUUAUUAUCUUACGCAUAAAUUAAAAGAUUUAAAAAAAAUUUUAGGUGAUGAAUUUUUUAAUGUUAAUUAUUUAAUUAAAUUAUACAUAUGUUAAACUAUAAUUUAAAAAUAAUUUUUAAGUACACAAAUAUUUAAUUAAUAAGAAAUAUGAAAAGAAUAAUAGAUUAUUUCAAAUUUUGUAUGGUUUAUUUUAGUUAGAUAAGAAGUAACCGGCAAAAAAUUUAAAAAAAGAUUGAUUAUAAUUAUAAGUAAUUUUUUUUAAAGAUAGAUUAUGAAUAUAAGUGAUUUAUUAAAAAAAAAUUAUGUAUGAUUAAUUUUAUUUGAAGCAGGGUUUUGAAGGAUAAUGAAGGGGUCCCAAACGCUGUGGGUUUGUUGGCUCUUCCGCUGUCAAAAGUCACGUAUGCUUGGAAGCUUUUAAAAAGCAUGAUGGUAAUGUAAUACUGCAAUUGGAUCAUGGAUUUUUCAUUUAAGAAGAUAGCCACCUGGCGGCAACUCUGAUAUACAAAACAUGUAUUUCAGAAUACGGAAUCUAUCCAAACAUAUAGCAUGCAAGUGCGAUUGCCAGCACGAGCAGUUUUUAUUGCGGAAUUCUUUCAAACACAUAGCACGCAUGUGAAGUUCCCGCAUUGAACCUUCCAAGAUGUUAGUUUCUCUAUUCAGAAACUGAACUCAAUGCCUCAUCCCCUCCUUCAAAGCCAUGACCCUCGUGGCCGCGGUUAACACCUCAUAUUGGGAAAGGGACUAUCACAACCAGUUGUAAAUUAAGCGGAAACAAAACUUUUUCUCUCUUUGUAUGAUUAAAAUAUGAUGUGUACCACAAAUAAAUAGGCAGAAAAAUAAACUAAUAAAUCUAAAGUAAAAAUCAACCACAAGAGACACAAAUUUUUAUGUGAAAAACUCAAAGCGAAAAAAACUAUGGGACCGUAAUCCGAUAUAAUCUUUCAAUAUAUUAAUGAGAUUACAACACAAAUUCUUCUCUAGAUAAUACUAAAAGCUACCAACAUCAAGAAUCUCAAUAUUCUUGGCUUACAGUAACAGUCUAAUAAACAGUUUCUCUAAUAAAUAGGUAUCUUAAAUAAUAGCCAACGAGAGAAUAAAAUAAAAAUCAAGACCAAUAAAAUUAUAGAAGGCGGUGUCAGGAACUUACCCUCAAAAUUUGAGAGAAAAUAAAGUUAAAAUCACCUUCCGAUCAUCUAAUUAAAGAUUGAAAAUCUUACCCCCAAAUAAUCUCAACUCUACUGUCUAUUCUUUUCCCUCCCGUCUUUCUCUUCUCUCAAAAGGUUACUGCCGCCUCCGCUUAUGCUUGUUUAUAUAGCCAAAUUUCAUGAAAAUUUUCAUUUGCCCCCUUUAAGUUUUCUUUAAUUACUUAAUUAUCCAAACUUAUUAAACUUUGAGCUUGGGCCAACCAAAUAAGAUGGACCCAACAAAUCUCCCUCUUCAGAUCAUAUGGGGGGCACCACUAAACCCGCUUUCUAUAUACAACUUUACAGCUUUUCCUUGGACAAUGAUUUUGUCAUCAUAUCUGACCCAUUCUCCAUUAUGUGUAUCUUUUCAACCUACAACUGUUUCUUCUCAAGCACAUCUCGUAUCCAAUUAUACCUCACAUCAAUAUACUUGGAUUUUGAAUGGUAUGUCGAAUUCUUUGCCAAGUGAAUGAUACUCUGACUAUCGCAGUACACAACAAAAUUAUCUUGCUUCACACCCAACUCUUGCAGGAAAUUCUUCAUCUACAAGGUUUCUUUGCAACCUUCAGUGAUUGCAAUAUACUCUGCUUUUGUGGUAGACAAGGCAACACAUUGCUGAAGUUUGGACUGCCAUGAGACUGCUCUCCUUGCAAAGGUGAGCAAAUAUUCUGAUAGAGAUUUUCUGGAAUCAACAUCUCCUGCCAUGUCUGCAUCAAUGUACACUUAUAACACAAGUUUAUCACCAUCAAACAUAAACAUGCAUUGGAAGUGCCUCUAAGGUAUAUGAGAAUCUACUUUACUACAGUCCAGUGUUCUUUGCCCAGAUUAGAGAGAAACCGACUGACUACACUAACUGCAUGAGCAAUAUCUGGUCUUGUACAAACCAUGGUGUACAUCUAACUACCAACUGCUGAAGUAUAAGAAACUCAUUUCAUCUUUUGCUUCUAUUUCUCACUUGUAGGAGAAUGCUUGGAAGUAAGCUUGAAAUGGCCUGCAAGUGGAGAACAAACUGGUUUUGUCUUGCUUAUGUUAAAUCUUUCAAGAACCUUUUCAACAUAUAUUUCUUGAGAUAACCAUAACUUCCCAGAUUUUUUAUCGCAGGAAAUCUUCAUGCUAAGAAUCUGUUUCACCGGUCUUAAGUCCUUUAUUUGCAAAAGACUUGCUAAGCUCCCUCUUCAGAUUGUCAAUCUUACUAGCAUCUCAGCCAACAAUCAACAUAGCAUCCACAUAAAGCAAAAGAAUAAUGAAAUAAUUAUCACCAAAUUUCUUCACAAAAAUACAAUAGUCACACAUAGUCUUAUUGAAACCAUGAUUCUCCAUAAAAGAAUCAAACUUCUUGUACCACUGCCUUGGUGCCUGUUUUAGCCCAUACAAACUUUGGCUCCUCCCCCGCCUUUCUUUCUUUUCUGAAAUAAGUGCAUCUGACUUAGAGGGAACCGCUUCAACACUUUUUCUUCUAGAUUCUUCAUUCUGCAGCCUAUCUGUAACCAUAUUCAAGGUUAAUUUCCCGUUCGACACUGAAUUAUUUACCGACACCACUAAUGUCUCCCAAUUAUCAGGCAAAGAACUAAGCAACAACAAUACUUGUAACUCAUCAUCUAGAAUAUUUUUCAUAGUAGUCAACUGAUCAACCAAGCCUUGAAACUCACUAAUGUAUUCAGUUGUACUGCGCCCUUCCUUGUAUUUCAAAUUAACAAGUCUUUUCAUCAGAUUGACUUUAUUCUGUGCUGUCGGCUGCUCAUAAAUCGUCUCUAAUUUUCUCCAAAUAACAUCAACCUUGGAUUCUUUCGCGUCACGGUGAUACACACUUUGAUCAAUCCAUGAUCUAAUAGUACCCACAGUCUUCUAGUUUAAUUGAGCCCAUUUCUUAUCAUCUAAAUCUGCGGGUCUAUCUUAUUCGCCUUCAAUGGGUUCAUGUAAGUCUUUUAUGUACAACAAAUCUUCCAUCCUAGACAUCCAAAUACCAUAAUUUCAUGAUUUUAAUUUAAUCAUGCAUGCCAAGGACUCCUCCAUCUCAACCACAUAAGUAAUAAAAAUACAAAACCUAACGCUCUGAUACAACUCUGUUAGGAAAAUGCACUACCACAACCAGUUGCAAGUUAAGCGGAAACAAAAUUUUUUCCCUUUUUGUGCGUUUAAAAUAGGAUGUAUACCACAAAUAAAUAGACAGAAAAAUAAACCAAUAAAUGCAAAGCAAAAACCAACCACAAGAGACAUUGAUUUUUACGUGGAAAAUCCAAUAUGGGAAAAACCACGGGACCGUAGUCUAAUAUAAUCUUCCACUAUAUUAAUGGGAUUACAGUACAAAUUCUUCUCUAGAUAAUACUAGAGGUUACCAACAUCAAGAAUCUCAAUAUUCUUAGCUUAUAGUAAUAAUUUAAUAACAGUUUCUCUAACACGUGGGUAUCUCAAAUAGUAGCCAACGAGAGAAUAAAAUAAAAAUUAAGACCAAUAGAAUUAUAGAGGGCAAUGCCAGGAACUUACCCUCAAAAUUUGAGAGAAAACAAAGUUAGAAUCACCUUCCGAUUGUCUAAUUAGAGAUUGAAAAUCUUGCCCCCAAAUAAUCUCAAAUCCACUGUCUUUUCUUUUCUCUCCCGUCUUUUUUUUGUCGCAAAAGGUUGUUGUCACCUCCACUUAUGCUUGCUUAUAUAGCCAAAUUUCAUAACAAAUUUUAUUUGCCCCUUCAAUUUUCCUUUAAUUGUUUAAUUACCCAAACUUAUUAAACUUUGAGCUUAGGCCACCAAAAUGAGAUUGACUAACACCUCAAAAGACGAUUACUACGCAGCCGUAAACCACAUCGCCAACAUAGUCCGUCACGAAAUAUAUCCAGAACGCACCCUCAACAGACUCAACCUCACCCUCACCUUAGAGAUUGUCUACUGCGUCCUCCGCAUCUGCCACAUUACUUCCCCUUCUGAAUCCCUCCGCUUCUUCACCUAGGCCUGCUCCCAGCCCUAAUACUCCCCCACCUCCCUCGAAUUCGAACAGCUCAUUUGACCCUUGCCCACCACAAACUCUACCAGUCCAUGUGGAAUCUACAUUCUUUUGGCAUUUGAUUGCGUUACGCCCAAGCACGUUGUUAUUUAUUUUUAAGCAACAAUGGUGUUUGUAAUUAUUGCCUUUUCUGGCUUUAUCUAGUGUUUAUCUGAGUAAUAAACAAUACUAAAUAGUUUGGUUGAUGGACACUUGGACUUGGAGAAGAAACGUGUUUUCAUUUCUUAAAUAAAACAUUAUACACUGAGAGUUAUUUAUAGAUGCAGAUGCUACAUUUUUUCAAAGAUUACAUAUGUGAAUACGGAAGGAAAUGUGUCAAUCCGUUCGGCGCGGAUCUUGUCUUUGACAAGUGCAGAUUAUCCUUUUGACAAGUGCGGAUUCUGUCUUUGAAAGCUUCAUUCAAUGCCGUUUUAUUUGAUUCUCAACACUCCCCCUCAAGCUGGUGCAUAGAUGUCUUGCAUACCCAACUUGUCUAGGAAUUUUGUAAAUGCCCUGCUUGAAAUGGCCUUCGUUAAAAUAUCUGCAAGUUGAUAUUCUGAUCGAAUUUUUGGCAGUUCUAAGAUUUUUUCAUCUAAUUUCUCAUUGAUGAAAAAUCUAUCUACCUCGACAUGUUUUGUUCGAUCGUGUUGAACUGAGUUAUGAGCAAUAUCUCGUGCAGCUUUAUUGUCACAGUAUAGUUGUAUUGGUUGUUGUGACGGAUAGCCCAAAUCGUUUAAGAUAAAACUUAUCAAUAGCCCUUCACAUACCCCAAGGGCCAUGCCUCGAUAUUCUGCUUCAGCGCUCGAACGGGCAACGACAUGUUGUUUCUUGCUUCUUCAUGUGACAAGGUUGCCUCCCACAAAAGUAAAGUAUCAUAAAGUAGAGCGUCUAUCACUAAUUGACCCGGCCCAAUCUGCAUCAGUAUAAACUUCUAUGUUGCUGUAAUCUUCAUUUUUGGAAAAUAGGAUUCCUUUUCCUGGAUUUGUCUUCAUGUACCUCAGGAUCCGCAUUACUGCUUUCAUGUGUUGUUCUCCGGGAUUAUGCAUAAACUGACGUACAACACUCAAUGCAUAAGCAAGAUCUGGCCUUGUGUGGGACAAGUACAUCAAUCUUCCAAUCAACCUUUGAUAUCUUCCUUUGUCUACUGGAACUUGGUCUGAGGUAAUACAAAACUUCAGUCCUUCUUCUAUUGGGGUGUCAAUAGGCUGACAAGCUGUCAUUCCUGUUUCGUGCAAUAGAUAUAAGGCAUAUUUCCUUUGAGACAGAAAGAUUCCUCCCUUAGAUCGAGAAACCUCAAUUCCAAGAAAGUAUUUUAAGGCACCUAAAUCCUUCAUCUUAAACUCUCUUGACAAGUACUUCUGAAGAACCUCUAUUUCUUCCUCGUCGUUGCCUGUAACUACCUUAUCAUCCACAUAGACAAUAAGGGCAGUGAUUUUACCUUGUCAUUUUUUAAUGAAUAAGGUAUGAUCUGAAUUGCUUGUCAUUUUACUUUGGUUAUACCCAAAACGAACCAUAGCCUUUGUGAAUUUCUCGAACCAUGCUCUUGGGGAUUGCUUCAACCCAUACAAUGAUUUCUUCAAUUUGCAUACUUUUUGAUUGAGUCGUUCUGGUCCACUGCAUCCUGGUGGCAGAUCCAUAUAAAUUUCUUCACACAGGUCUCCAUAGAGGAAAUCAUUUUUUACAUCGAACUGUUGCACUGGCCAAUCCAAGUUGACUGCUAAUGAUAAUAAGAUACGAAUAGUAUUAAUUUUUGCUGUCGGUGCAAACAUAUCAGUAUAAUCAAUCCCGUAGGUUUGGGUGUAACCCUUAGCUACGAGUCUUGCUUUGUAUCGUUCAAUAGAGCCAUCUGCUUUGUACUUUAUAGUGUAGAUCCAUCGACAACCCACUAGUUUCUUUUCUGGUGGAAGAUCAACUAGUUCCCAUGUUUGAUUUUUCUGAAGAGAUCUCAUUUCAUCAUUCAUAGCCGCUUCCCACUUUGGGUCUUUUAAAGCUUCUUGCACACUGUUAGGAAUAGAUACAGCAGAUAAUUGAUUCACAAAUGACUGAUUUGAUUCUGACAAGCGAUGGUUAGACACAAAAUGACUCAUAGGGUAUUUAACUAUACUAGAGAAGUCAGGCUCGUAUGUGGGUUUAGGGAUACCUCUAUUUUGACGUUGGGAAAGAAUUCUUUUGAUUGGACUUGUGGUAGGAACAUCCUCUACAGACGAUUGGUUAGGUAUUUUUUCAUGUGACUCAUUCUCGAUUGCAGUUGUGUCUGAAUUAUUGUGCUCCCCAAAUGUGUCUUCACUUAUCUCAGCCUGAGAAUCAUCACCAUUUGCUUUUCCAGUAUCUUGAAGGUUUACUAUCUCAAUGGAAUAUUGACUUUCUUCAGGUGGAAGAUAUGUAAGAGUAUGGAUUUCCUUUUUAUUAUGCUCCCCCUGAAAUUCAGACUCUGACAAGUAGUACAUGAUAUCUUCAUGAAAAACGACAUCCAUGGUGAUGUAUAUUUUUCUUGAUGGUGGAUGAUAGCAUCGGUAUCCCUUUUGAUGUAAGGCAUACCCUACAAACACACAACGUAGUGCUCGAGGAGAUAAUUUGUCUUGUUGCGGCAAAUGAACGAAGGCAACACAGCCAAACACGUGGGGGCAGAUUCGGCACAUUUGGUGACAUAAUUGCAUUAUUCAGAACUUGAAAAGGAGUCUGGAAUCCAAGGGAGCUUGAAGGUGUUCGAUUGAUCAAGUAUGCUGCGGAUGCCAGUGUUUCUCCCCAAUAAGAUAGUGGCAUGUGGGCUUGGAUUAGUGAUGCUCGAACAACUUCUAGUAAAUGUCUGUUUUUUCGUUCAGCAACGCCAUUUUUUUGGGGUGUCCCCACAUAAGUGGUUUGAUGGACAGAUCCUUGUGAUUUCAGAAACUGUUGAAUUGUUGUGCUCAUAUACUCGCCUCCAUUAUCAGUAUGUAGAACUCGAAUUUGUGUCAUAUGAUCAAAAGUCAUAUGAUCAGUUGCCCCAAAAUCAAUUAUCCAUGUACUAUUAAUAACAGGUGUAAGAGUUUUAAGGGCCAUACCUGGACUAACAGAGGUUGCGAUUUGCACUGAAGAUUCUUUUCUAAGAUCUGUAGUGGAUAUGGAUUCAGCUACUGCAGUUUUUUAUCCAUACUUGGUGUUCUUCUUUCGAGUAUCCCACCAGUCAGGAUAUCCAAUGAUUUCAAAACAUUGUUCUUUCGUAUGACCCUUCUUUCUACAAUGAGUGCAAUUGAGUGAUGACUUGUCAACAAACUUCCUUUGAGGCUGCUGUCGUGCUAUCAUAGCAGACGUUUCUGAGUCGACCUUCUUGUUUAGUUUGCUUUGCCGCACAUCUUCUCUUUAGAUCAGAGAAUAACAUUAUUCUAAGUCUGGAAUAAUUUCUUUUCGUAGAAUUUCUCCACGAACUUGGUCAAAUUCUUCAUCUAGCCCAGCAAGAAAAAUGUGCACUCUCAAUCUUUCAACAGACCUUCUGUAUAUUACAACAUCUUCUGAAUCCUUCACGACCACUUUAUCUCGGUGAUCAAGUUCUCGAAAUAUUUUGAUCAAUUCUCCAUAGAAUUUAGAGAGUGGUUGUCCAUUUUGCUUGGUAGAGAAUGCCUUCUGGUUUAGAGUGAAAACUUGUAAUUCAUCGCUUCCAUCAUAGAAGGCUUUUGAUAAUGCAUCCCAAAUUUCGUAGGCUGUAGGAAUUCGUAAAUAUCGCUUCAUGAUCUCCGGAGACAUGGAUAUGAGUAACCAUCUUUUUGCUUUUUGGUUCUCACUAUACCAUUUCUCAUAUUCUUUUGAAUAUUCCUCAGAUGGCUUUGUACUACUACGAAUAUAUGAGAGUUUUUCUCUUUCUGUAAGAUGCAUCUCCAUUAUUUGAGACCAAACAUCGUAGUUUGUCUCAGUGAGGAUAAUUCUAGCAUUAAAUACUCUAUCAGAUUGAACAGAUUGAAUGACAACAGGACUAGAUUCAGUUGGAGUUUUCUCCAUUUUUUUUGUUUUUUUUUUCGUCUAGAUUGAAAGAAGAAAAAAAAAUAACCUUUUUAGAUAACAAAACGACAAGUCGUUUGGCCACUGCUUGAAAAACUGACAUGUCGGUUAUGGUGGAAUAUAAACGACAUGUCGUUUUAAUCCUGCUGCACUUCUGGAGACUAAACGUCACGUCGUUUUAUCUCUAAUUUAAAAACGACAUGUCGGUUUUAAUAUAAUAAAAACAACACGUCUUUUUUACUGCUGCACACCGGAGAUAAAAAAUGACAUGUCGGUUGACGUCUUCUUCAACCUCUGGAGCGCGUGAGAGCGCGUGAAUGAUGACAGAGGCGCGUGGUUGACUGGCCGUGGCUUCGGGUGGCGCGUGUGAGCGCGUGGAAAUGUGUUUAAAUGCGAAAUUUUUACAGUUUCCUCACUGGAAACUGAGAAAUGUGAUGGUAUUCUUGGUUUUUUUAGGAACACACUCUUGGAAAAUUGAUGGGAUUGUUGAUAAAUUUGUUAACUCAAGUUUUUUACGUAUGAGUGGCUUGUUUCUUGAUCGGCAUGGAUAUCUGUAAUGGUAGGAAUGGGUUUAAGAAAGAAAAUGGUGGGAAAAAUGGUUGUGGGAGGAAUUUGGUUUCCUCUGUUUUUGUUACAAACAGAGCAGCAGAACUUGAAGAAACUUGAGAGUAUUCAUGGCUCUGAUACCAUGAAGAAACGUGUUUUCAUUUCUUAAAUAAAACAUUAUACACUAAGAGUUAUUUAUAUAUGCAGAGGCUACAUUUUUUCAAAGAUUACAUAUGUGAAUACAAAAGAAAAUGUGUCAAUCCGUUCGGCAUGGAUCUUGUCUUUGACAAGUGCAGAUUAUCCUUUUGAUAAGUGCGGAUUCUGUCUUUGAAAGCUUCAUUCAAUGCCGUUUUAUUUGAUUCUCAACACUUGGUAUUGGACUUUGAAUUGACACAGAGGCGGUUGACUCGGAGAAAUGAUUACUUUGAACAUUUUUCGCAUGCAUCAUUUGCUCAUAACUUUUUUGUUCAUCCACAUGAAAUCAAAUACUCAUUUGGUAUGAUAGAAUCAAUGGGCAAUCAUUUUUAUAUUAGCUUAAAAACUAGGUUAUCUUUGCAUAACUAUAGUUUUAGAGUUUCUGUUUAUGUACUUUAUGCUUUCAACUUCUGAUGAUGAAUCGAGUGUUGAGCCCAGAGCAAGCUUUCCUGUUGAAGGAUAUUAAUUUGCAACUAAUUCAUCGGUUACACAUACAGUUAGAAAAAUGUGUACCCGAAUGCCAUGUUAUUGCAUUUACUAAUGUAUAGUUCAUAAGCAUGUCUCUCAUUGUAUACACGAUUAAGGGUGGGUCUGCCUACUACUUUAUAACAAUUAGAGAUGUUCAAAAUUCAAUUCGAUCUGCUCAAUCCGUCUGAUCCGUAGAAAUCCAAUCUGUAAAAUUUUGAUUCGCAAAUUGGUGGAUUGGAUUGAAAAUUUGAUAAUCUGCAAUCGGUGGAUUGGAUAUGGAUCUACUUCUAUAAAUCCGCAAACAAAUAAUAAGUAGUUAUUUAAUUAAAAAAUAAAACUUAUAAAUAUGACAUUAGUACUUACUAGUAAAUAAAUAAGUUAAAAUAUAGUUACAUUAACACUAUAUUAUAUAUUAUCAAAUAAUAAUAUAACAUAAAAAAUAAUUAAAUAAACAAAUAUAGCUUCCUAAAUAGUUAAUUUCAUAUAUUGAUCUAAACAAAUAAGAUUUUUUUCUUUUUAAUGUGUUAUAUUUUGAAACUUUAAAUUUAUUUUCUAGCUUUAUUUAAAUAAUUAAUUAAUUUAAAUCUUAUUUAAUUUUAAAUUUGAUUGGUAUUAAAAUUAGUUUUAUAUUUAAUUUUUUUAUUUAUUUAGUUCGUGCAUUUGACAGAAUUAAGAAUUUUCAGUCCGUAAACCAACCUGCAAAAUGGUGGAUUGGAUAUAGAUCGGGUCAAAUUCGCAUCCGAUCCGUAAACGUAUGAAUUGGAUUUGAAUUUCACCAAUCCAUGGAUUGAAUUAGAUUGAAAAUUUAUAAUCCGCAAAAUCGUGGAUCGAAUAUGAAUUGAUGUCCAAUCCGUAAAAUCCAAUCAGCGAACACCGCUAAUAACAAUUUAUGUUAUACUGACAAUAUUUUCCGUACUGAUCACAAGUUUAAAGUUUUGCUUCUCGAAAUGGCUCCUUUCAUUUAUUUAUUUAUUUAUUAAAAUUGACAUUUUUUAUUUUUUUUGUUUUUGACAAGGAAGGUAAUUGAGGUGUUUAACGAGGGGAUGAUGUUUUCCUUUAAAAGAAUAAAUAAAUAAAAGACAAAUUUUUAUGCUAUGGGGACAAAAUGCCAAUUGAGAAGAAUUGUGUCCCACUAAAAUUGGGUUAAGUAUUUAAUUUGAAUUGGCAUCUAAAACAGUUGUAGGCUAACCAAUAUUUCUACGAAAAAAAAAAGUCAGAAUUAUUGCUAGCUUCUUGUCUUUAAUUUUCUAAACUCUGCGCAGUUGGUGUAGUAGUUUUUGCUGCUCUUCUCUUUGCGGCUAUAGAGGCUAUAGCCGAACGUGAACUAGGAAAGUGGAAACGUUGCACCUUAACAUACGUCGUCAACUACGACUACAAAUCUAUUUCAUGGUCCCAAAAUAUCAAUCAGUGCCAUUGUAAUUAUCAAAACUAAAAAAUUAUGGUUUUUACUAAGUUACAGUUACUAUCCAUGCAAAAAUAUGCAAAACGUAGUAACAUAAUAGUGAGCCAUUUAAUUUUUAUAUGGGUUGUAUGUUAUACAAAUUGUAAUUUAGCGAAACUCAAAAAUUAUACGAAAGAAAAAAUUUAUUAAUUUUCUUUUUAACUAAAUGAUUAGAAUACAUUUACUCAUAAUUACCAAAGCAAAAAUUAAGUCAUAAUUAAGGGCUUGUAAAACACUUAAUUUCAAACCACUAAUUUUGAGAGCUACAACAAUAAGAGGAGUUAAGUAACAAUUAAGUGCUUAUAAAUGAUAACUUUUAGUAUUCAAAAACUAACCACAAGCUCAAGCCCAUCUCAUAUGAAUAACGCUGUUGUGCGAUAGGGAUUACAAUUGUGUGACAAAUGACCCUUGAUAAAUUUAGACAACUAGUAGAAAUUAGAAUUUAAAUUCUUUAUUUUUAAGUUUUUCCAAUAUUUCAAUGUUAUUCUCACACAUUUAAUUAAAAUUAAAUAAAUCUUAAGAACAUAUAGAGACAUGUUUUUGUAAUAUAUAAAAGAUUACAUGUCUCUUCUUCUUUCUAUUUAAAUUCAACAAUAUGUAACCAUUAAUAAUAAAUUAAUUAUAGUUUUGAAACAUUCAUUUAUUUUAUUAAGCCAACAACUAAACUUUAGUGGUUUAAAAUACAUCAACUAACUAAUAUAGAAAAAAAGGUUCUUUCAUCUCCCCUCACCAAUACCACUAGAACCUAAUUUUAAUGUCAUAAUUUCAUAUUUAAUUAUGCAACCUUUUAUUUAGUGUCUUUUGACUUCUUCAAACUAUAUAAAUAUUAAGUAUUUAAGAUUUAUUAUGUUUGAGUUUUUUUUAUUAUUUAACCAACAUCCUCUUUAGAAAUGUUCUUGUGUUUUUAUUUUUUGACUUAUUUAAAUUUUUUGUAUUGUGUGCUUCAUGGAGUAUUCUUUUCUUCAUGAGUUAAACAAUGAUAAAGAUAUUUGGAUGAUAAGGGUUAGGCUUUGUAAAAUGUGGGAGUCUGUUAAUACCAAGAAAAAUGGAGAGUUGAUUAGUGUGAACAUAAUUUUUAUUGAUGAAAAAAUUGUGUACACUUAACUAUACACAUUAAUAUAUAUUUUUAAAGUUAACAAAAAAAUAAUUAACUUUCAUAAAUAACAUUAGUUUUAUAAGGCUGCGUCAUCUUUAAAAAAAAUCAAUUCAUAUUUUUUAUCAAUUUUAUCAAGUGUAAAGUAAUAAAAAAAUAAUACUAAAUUUUUUUUUUAAAACCGCACGAAGUGCGGUUCUAUUUCCUAGUAAGAUUAUAAUAGUAAAAGAAUUCAAUAAUUGCACUCUUAAUGUUACCAUUUAAAAAUUAUUAAGUUAAGAAUGAAAUAGGUAAUUUGGGAAACCCAGCUGGAGGGAUUUGCUUAACAUCCUUUAAAAUUUUUUCCCAGCUGGAAGUAAUUGCUGAACAUCCUUUUCAAUUCCCGAGUAUUAUCUAAUCAGCUUAUUUUGUCAUUUUUAGGUGUUUGCAAAGGCUUUUGGCAAGGAUACUGGGUUGGCUUACGUGUAGUGGACUGAUCAUGUUGACUUUGUUCGGUAGCACAUUUUAUUUUACGCGUGUCUAGUUGUAACCAUGUCUCUCACUGUAUACACCAGUGUGAGUGGGUCCGCCUACUAUUUUAUGACAAUUUAUGUUAUACUGACAAUAUUUUUCGUGCUGAUCACAAGUUUGAAGUUUUGCUUCUCUCGAAGAGCUGGCUCCUUUCAUUUAUUUAUUUAUUAAAAUUUACAUUUUUUUUCCGUUUCCUUGCAAGAAAGGUAAUUAGAUUAAGUUUAACGGGGCGAUGAUGUUUUCCAUUAAAUAAGUAAAACACAAUUUUAUGCCAGAGUAGAAAUGGCCAAUCAAAACAAGGGUUAUCCAUGUUCGUGCCAUGCCGUCGUGUGCUUAAUUUUUUUUUCUCGUACCUUGCCCAUAUGUGUUGUGUUGUGUCUAAAAAAAAGUUCAAUAAUUUUUUUUAGUUUUUUAAAAGCACGUACUAAGUAAUUGGUAUAUUUUUUUUAAGUUUAUAUUUUUUUUAGGUCUAUACAUUUAUUCAAAUUUAAUAGAAUUGAAAAUUUAAAACUCAAGUCUAUAUUUUAUAAUAAUAAACUAAUAAUAAUAAGAUAAUGUAAUAUUAAUUUUUAAGUUUGACCUUUUAACAUUAUUUUUUUUUAUACUUAACAACAACAACAAUAAUAAAUUUUUCUUAAGGGUUAACUUAAUUGUUAACUUAGACUUACAUAGAGUCAUAGAUCAUAAUUCACAAUAAUAUUAAUGGAUAUUUAUAAAAUCAUAAUAAUUAUAAUUUUAUUUAUUAAAAUCAUGAUAUCAAUUAUAUAUUUAAUAAAUUAUAAAUAUAAAUCAAUUAUAGUACUUUUUAAACUAAGAAUUAAAUGAAUUUAAAAAAUUUAUUUUCAAGUUAUUUGUAAAACUAUAAAAUUUUAAGUUUACUUUCAUUAAAAAAUAAAAUGUGCUUAUUGUGAACUUUUUUAUCGUGCUAUACUUAGUCCAUUUCUAAUCAUGCAGUGCUUUUAAUGCUCGCGUGCUUAAAAUUUUAAGUCUGGCCCAGUCCACGUGCGUACUGUACCAUACCACAUACCCUACCAAAACGUGCUCGUAUUGUGCCGUGCCACACGAAUACAUGUCGUGCCAUGUGUCAUCCACUCCAUUGGCCAUCUCUACGCCAGAGUGACAAUAUGCCACAUUGAGAAGAAUUGUGUGCCCCUAAAGCUGGAUUAAUAAUUUAAUUUGAAUUAAAUCUAUAACAGUUGUAGGCUAACCAAUAUUUCCACAGAAAAAAGCAGUUCAAAAUUAUUGGUCGCAUCUUGUCAUAAAUUUUUUAACUCUGCGCAGUUGGUGUAAUAGUUUCGGCUGCUAUUCUCUUUACUACUAGAGCCUAGAGAUGGAGUGAAGCAUGAUGGGAAUUAGGAAAAGAGAGUUGCUUCCUUAUAACCGUAACUUAGCGCCCACACACAGCAACAGUACCGCUGGUGGGGCCUGGUACUAUUGCUACGUAAGUUACAUUAAACGUAACUUAGGCCCUCCCUUACAAUUAACGUAAUGUUCUAGGUUAACAUAUCUAAUCAACUACGACUACAAUUCUAUUUCAUGGUCCCAACACAUCAUAUCAAUCAAUGUCAUUAUCGUUAUCAAAGCUAAAAAAUCACAAGAAAGAAAAAAGUUUUUGUUUUAGCUGAAUGAUUAGAUAUUACAUUUACUCGUAAUUAGGGGUGUUCAGAAUCCAAUUCAAUCUACUCAAUCCAUUUGAUCCGUAGAAAUCCGAUCUGUAAAAAUUCGAUAUGCGGAUUGGUGGAUUGGAUUGAAAAUUUGAUAAUCCACAAUCAGUGGAUUAGAUAUGAAUCUACUUAUGUAAAUCUGUAAAAAUCUGUAAAUCCGCAAAAAAAAAAAAAAUUUAUUUAAUUAAAAAAUAAAACUUGUAAAUAUGAUAUUAGUACUUACUAGUAAAUAAAUAAGUUAAAAUAUAGUUACAUUAACACUAUAUUAUAUCUAAUCUGAUAAUAAUAUAAAAUAAAAAAAUUAAAUAAACAAAUAUAGCUUCCUAAAUAGUUAAUUUUCAUAUAUUGAUCUAAACAAAUGAGAUUUUGUUUUCUUUUUGAAUUGUUAUAGUUUGAAACUUUCUAGUUUUAUUUAAACAAUUAAUUUAUUUAAAUCUUAUUUAAUUUUAAAUUUGAUCGGUAGUAAAAUUAUUUUUAUAUUAAAUUUUUUUAUUUAGUUAGUUCGUGUAUUAGACAAAAUUAAAAAUUUUCAGUCUGUAAACUAAUCAGCAAAAUGGUGGAUUGGAUAUGAAUUGAGUCAAAUUCAUAUCUGAUCCGUAGACGUAUGAAUUGGGUUUGAAUUAAAUUUUAUCAAUCCGUGGAUUGGAUUAGAUUGAAAAUUUAUAAUCUAAAAAAUCGUAGAUCGGAUAUAGAUUGAUGUCCAAUCUAUAAAAUUCGAUCCGCGCCCUACUCGUAAUUAAAAAAGCAGAAAUUAAGCAAUAAUUAAGGGUUUAUAAAACAUUUAAUUUCAUACCACUAAAUAUGAGAGUUAUAACAGCGAGAGAAGUUAGGUAAUAAUUAAGCGCUUAUAACCGACAACUUUUACUCGAGGUAAAAGACUUAUGUGUUCUAUAACUAACCACACACUAAUCACAUAUGAAUAACACUACGUGUUUACUGUGCCGUACCGCAUAUCUUACCUAAACGUACUCAUAUGGUGUCGUACUAUACCGAUACAUGCCGUGGCAUGUGUCAUCCACUCCAUUGGCCAUCUCUACCCCAAAGUGACAAUAUGCCGCACAAGAAUUGCGUGCCCCUAAAGCUGGAUUAAUAAUUUAAUUUGAAUUGACAUCUAUAACAGUUGUAGGCUAAUCAAUAUUUCUACAGAAAAAAGUGGUUCAGAAUUACUGGUCGCGUCUUGUCAUAAAUUGUUUAACUCUGCGCAGGCGGUGUAAUAGUUUCGGCUGCUAUUCUCUUUACCGCUAGAGCCUAGAGAUGGAGUGAAGCAGAAUGGGAAUUAGGAAAAUGGUAAUGUUCUACGUUAACAUACCUAGUCAACUACGACAACAAUUCUAUUUCAUGGUCCCAACACAUCAUAUCAAUCAAUGAACAUCAUAUCAAUCAAUGCUAUUAUGGUUAUCAAAGCUAAAAAUUCACGGGAAAGAAAAAAAAAAUUUUUUUUUUUAGCUGGAUGAUUAGAUUACAUUUUCUCGUAAUUAAGAAAGCAUAAAUUAAGUAAUAAUUAAGGGUUUAUUAAACACUUAAUUUCAUACCACUAAAUAUGAGAGUUAUAACAGUGAGAGAAGUUAGGUAAUAAUUAAGAGCUUAUAACCGAAAACUUUUACUAUAGAUAAAAGACUUAUGUGUUCUAUAAGACUAUAACUAACCACAAACUCAUCACAUAUGAAUAACACUAUUGUGCAAUAGACAUUACAAUUGUGUGACAAAUGACCAUGAAUAACACUAUUAUGCGAUAGGGAUUAUAAUUGCGUGAUAAAUGAUUCUUGAUAAAUUUAAACAACUAAUAGAUAUUAAAAUUUAAAAUUUUUAUUUUUAAGUAUUUCCAAUAUCUCAAUGUUAUUCUCACACAUUUAAUUAAAACUAAAUAAAUUUUAAGAACGUAGAAGAACAUAUCUCACUUACGAGUUUAGAUAGGCCUAAAACCAAACUUUAGAAAACACAUUUUUAUGUUAAUUUCUUUCAUAAAUUUUGCGUUUGACAAGAUAAAAAUAUAUAACAGAUAACCAAACCAAAACUUUUCACGAAAUAAAUAAUUAAUUAGUUAAUCCAAAAGUACUUUGGUUAAUGUGUAGAAUGGGUUGAAUAAAGUAAUUUUUAUUUUUGAACAAAAUUUAGUCCAUUCUAAUUUCACUCCUCAAUGGAAGUUCUUUCCACCUUUCGGCUAAUGGACUCUCGCAAUUUAGCGUUAUUAUUAUUAUUACUAUUAUUAUUAGUUAUAAUUUUAAAAUUUAUUGGGAAUUUUGCGGAAGAGUAUGGCGAUUUGAACCCAAAAUUUUGCUUUCUACACCCAUUUUCUCAACACACCCACAACAUAAAUUUGAAAAAUAAAAUUAUACUCUAUGAAUCCUUCAUAAAUCCAAAAAUAACCUUAUAUUAUCUUCACUUUUUUCUUCCCUCCCCCUUCUUAUACAGUAUUGAAUGGUGACAGCAACUUUGAUUCACCUUGCUAAUAUUAAAAACUAUCCUAAUUGACAAAUCCAUGAAGAAAUAAACUUUGAUGACGUGCACCAAUAAAUUGAAAAUUUUGAGCCAACAACAAAAUACUGAAUAUAUUACGGAUGGCUUUACAUUGAAAUUGUCCAUUUCUUUUUCAUCCAUUGCCUUUCACGAAAAUCUUUAUAAUUUCAUAUUAUAACUGCAAGAUGCAAAAAAUUCUUCAUGUUUUUUCAUCUAUCGCCAUAAUUGCCAUAGAGUUCAUUAGCUUAAUUAACUAUUAGUUAUACAUAUCAAGGAGUCUAUUUUUCCUUUUAAGUCUUGAAUCAUCAAAUUCAAAUAUUUCUAUUGUUCGAUUUUUCUAUCUGAUUGUGUAUUUUCAUGAGAUGCAGAAAAUUAUUUUUAGCUUAUGCAGAAUUUUCAUUUUCUCAGCAACUAAGUUUUUUUUUUUUUUUUUUUUGGUCUGUCCUUAAUGGUAAUUGUCAUAAAGGGUAAUUUGACAAUAAAAGUUUUUGUGAAAUUAUGGGUGUAAAGAGUUGUUUUGUGGGUUUAAAUAGUCCCACCCUUUGCGGAAUUAUAUAUUAAACAUCUAAAUUAAUCGUAUGUAUGAAAUAAAUGGCAUCCAACACAAAUAUAAAUAAUGGCAUCCCACACAAAUAUAAAUAAUAAUUUUACUUGAAUUAAACACCCAAAUCCUAUAUUAUAAUAUUAUGCGUAAGGAAAUUUACGCACACUAUCAUUUUAUUAAAAUUUGGACUAGCUGAAGAAUAUUAUUCAUUCAGAUUUAUCAACCAUAAGUCACUUUGUUAAACCAUGAUUAUUGUAGAAUGAAAAAUCAUUCUUGUCAAGUAUAAAUGGACGAACUGUUUAUUGUCAACCUUUAUAUAGUUGUAUAAAUAAUUAAUCUUUGUAUAACUUAAAAUUAUUGUUUAUUCUAUCAGUCUUAAUGAAUUGGAAGUAGAUGAUUUUAAUUUGCAAAUGGUUUGGCUUCCAUCUUUGUAACUAUUUUACUAUUUAAAAAAAAAAAAGCUCACUAAACAAAUAAAGUUGACCAAAGUAUUCUCAAAAUGCCGACUGCUUUAGUUAACAAAGCUCAAAAACUUUUAAGAAGAAUUGGGCCUGAAGUAAAUCCUUGAUUAUAGGCAAACUGUUAACCUUCAAAAACCAUUUAAAUUGCCUUUCUUAACCCAAAAGUAUCCUAAUCCAAUGUUUGCCAAAUGAUCUCGAACCAAGUCAAAUUAUCCAACUCAUAACUAAAUAGAGGAGAGAAUAUUUUAACGAGGUCAAAUAGUUUCACUUUAUUAAUAAUUUAGUAGAAACCUAAUGAAAGUGAGGGUAUUGGAGUCUCUGGCUUUCUUUGCAUUUGAGAGUAUUUUUAUUUAUUUAUUUAUUGUUUUAGAUUUCUGUGCUGUAUUUAUCUUCUUUUUUUUCAAAAAAAAAAAUCCUCUAAAACAUUUUACAAAUUCCAUGCGAAUUAUGGAAGAACUUCGGCAUUCUUUAUUUUCUAUAUAUGCGGAUACAAGUAACAUGGAGAGAGGUUCACAAAAACCUCUUUGAUUAUUGUUAUUAUUAUUACAUAUAUAUAUAUAUAUAUUUAGCUCCGAACUUUGCAUGAAGAGCCUUCACUACAUAUGGAUAUGGAUCAAGUUGGAAUGCCCUGGCAAGAGAAAAAAGGAUCAGUUAGUGGAUCGGAUCUAAAGACUGCAUUGGAAUAAUUUUCAAAGUAAAUGAUGUAUUAUUAUAAAGACAUGUCUAAUUAAUUAUGCUUUAUAGAAGAGCUAGCUUUUCACCUAAGGACACAUCCAUUAAUGGUGGCACUUCAUUUGGAAUGGUGAUGGUUUAAUUUGAACUGUUGAUUAAGAUCAAAUCUUGAUCCAAUGGCCAUAAAUAAAAUGUUAUCAUGAAAGGUGACUACCUAAAUGGAAGGGCACAAGUACAUCUAUAAAUAUAGGCCAUGUUUAGGUCAUUUAAACAUGAAAUUAAUGAUCAUAUACCAAUCUGUUCUUAGCCCUCUUUCCUAAAACGAAUUUUAUCAUAUAACAUCUAUUUUUACGCAUCAAAUGUUUAAUAUAUUGUUUACUGCAGGAACAUUAUAUUGAUUCUUGAUAGUCUUGCAACAUUCAAAAGUUUUCAGAUUUGCUUUUGUCAAUGCACAAUGCAAACAAACAAAUAACGCUUCAUUAUAUCCUAGACGCGUGUUUGCUUAAUCCAUGUAUAUCACUCACUCAAUUGGUGGGGCAAAUAACAUCUUAAGAAAAACAACAUUUAUAAUGUGCAUUGAAGUACAAAUUUUUUUUUCUGCAAUUUUACAUGUUACUAUUAUUUUCUUUGCACCUAUAAAGUUGUACACACAUUACUUUAUUAUAAUAAAAUCUACCAUUAUUACUGCAAUUCUCUACAUUUGCCAUUUCACACAAAUAUAUACUGCAACAAUCUUAAGACGCCAUUUGUUCAGCAAUGGCACCAAGUUUAUCUCUUCGACAAUUUGCAAUUCAUUUUGUCAAAUAAGAGCGAUUCGACGGUGGCAACUUUGCACAUCAAUAGAAAAAUUUGCAUUUCUUGUUGACAAGCCUUAAUGUGGUUUAUGUUCUCACAAUACCAAAGCCUCAAGAAUGUGAGGAUGAGAUAUUAGCAGAAGCUAGAGCACGAUAGAAGUAGGAGCAAGAUGACUACAUAUGCAAGGGACAAAUUUGCAACGCCAUAUCUAAUAUUGUAUCACAACAAACCCACAAUAAAAGAAAUAUGCGACUUAUUGGAGAUUAAGUACAUGAUGGAAGAUGCCACAAGUAUGAAAUCCUUGGCUUCUAAAUUUUUUAAUUAUAAAAUGGUUGAUAAUGGACUUGUGGUUGAAUAAUAUAUUGAGAUUUUGCAUAUUCUUUAUCAAUUCAACCAAGACAACAUGAAGAUGGACGAGCCUUUUAUUGUUUCUUCAAUUAUUGAUAAACUCCCUCCCUAUUAGUAAGACAUUUAAAAGUCUUAAACAUAAUAAAGAGAAAAUUAGCCUGAAAGGUUUAAGCUAAAGUUUUUGUAUUGAAAAUGAACUCAAACUAUAUAAUCUUGAGGAAUAAGCUGCUACGUCCUCUAAAAUUAAUGUUGUGGAGGAGGGGAAGAAGCUUAAGCAUUCUAAUUACCCUAAGAAUAACCAAAAGAGAAAGUUUGAUUCUAAAGAGAAUCAAAAUAAUAAGAAGAAAAAAAAAGGUACAUGUCAUUACUGUAAAAAGCUUGGCCACUUCAAAAAAUAUUAUCAACUUCUUAAGAAACAAAAAGAAGUUUCGAACACAAUUUUGCGGCCAUGAUAUUGAGAUUCAUGUUCUUGAAGAUGAUAAUGCAUGGUGGAUAGAUUCUAAUGCAACCAAGCAUGUGUGCAAAGAUCAUAGCCUUUUCACAUCUUACAAAGUAAUGGAUGAUAGGAAUGUUCUUUACGUUCGGAAAUUCCUUCAUGCAGCAAUUAAAAAAAAAGGCAAUGUACAACUAGAGUAUAUUUAUGGAAAAAUCUUAACUCUUACUGAUGUUUAUCAUAUACCUAAAGUUAAGAAGAAUCUUGCAUUUGGUUGCCUCAAUAAAUUUGGCUUCAAACAUGUAUUUGAGUAAAAAAUAAUUUAUAUUGUCUAAGGAUUGUACCUUUGUUGGGAAAGGAUACAUGUAUGAGGGAAAGUUUAAACUCAUUAAUAAAAUGAAUGUUUCUUCUACUUACAUGAUUGACUCAUUAUUUUUGUGGCAUAAUUGUUUAGGACAUGUGAAUAUUAGAAGAUUGCAUGAUAUAGCUAAUUUAGAAUUAAUUCCUAAACAUGAAAAUGAUAUGCAUGAAAAAUGUAAAGUGCGUGCAUAGACUAAAAUCACAAGAACUCCUUUUCUAACAAUUGAAAAAACAUAUUCUUUGACGCAUUUAAUUCAUAGUGAUAUAUGUGACAUGCAUAGUAAUCCUACUAAAGGUGAUAAAAAAUAUUUUGUAAUGUUUAUUGAUGAUUUUUCAAAAAUAUUGCCUAUAUUUAUUACCUUCUAAAGAUCAAGUGUUAGCCAAAUCUAAAAUUUAUAAAAAUUAAGUUGAGAAUUUUUAUGACAUUAAAAUUAAAUGCAUCAGAAGUGAUAAAGGAGAUGAAUAUGCAUUUUCUGAAUUUUGUGAAUCUAUUGGCAUUGUGCAUGAAACUAGUAUUGGAUAUACACGACAACAAAAUGACAUAUCUAAAAGGAAGAAUAGGACGCUAAUAGAAAUGGUUAAUGUUAUGAUUUUUAAUGUUGGGCUUGGUAAAGAUUUUUGCAAUGAAGCUCUUUUAACUGAAUGUCAUAUCUUGAAUAGUGUGCCUAAUUAGAAAACAAAAGCGAUCCCUUAUGAAUUGUGGAAAAAUAGAAAGCCUAAUCUUUCACUACUACAAAAUUAGUCAAUAAUGACGGUUCUAAACGACAUAAAAUGACGGUUUUAAAACCGUCAUCUUAGGCAACGACAUUAAAAGGAGUAUACUUUUUAUGACAGUUCAAUAACCGUCAUUAAAUGUAUAUUUUUAAUGACGGUUAUUUUCUAAAACAGUCAUUAUUUAUAGUAACUAUGUAUGUUUUCAUGAUGGUUAUUUCGUAUAUCCGUCAUUAAAUAUAUACAUUUAAUGACGGUUAUAUGAAAUAAUCAUUAUUAAAUAUACUUUUUCAUUAAUUUUUUAUGACGGUUCUUUUAAAAAAAACCAUCAUUAAAUCCAUCAUUUUAAUGACAGUUUAUUGUAAAAACGUCAUUAAAUAUUAAAAUAACAUUUAAUGAUGGUUUAAAAAAAGAACUGUCAUCUUUGUUGUUGAAGACUACAUUUAACGACGGUUCUUUUCAAAUAACCGUUAUCAUUGUUGUUAAUUAUUAAAAAAAAAAAUGACAAUUUCAGAACCAUUUGAAGCCCCUAUUUUAAUUCUAAUUUCCUGUUAAAUUAUUUACAAUUUUUUUCCACAAAUGUUUCAUAUACAAAAAGAUAGCUCUACAAAAAUCUCUAAUAGUCAUUGAAUUUCAACAAAAUAUCAAUUAGCUUUAACAUCAAAAUUCUCACAACUCUUUAAUACCUACUAAUGAAUCUACUCACAACCAACAAAAUUGGCAUGUGUGAGUACAUCUAAUUUCUCAUCAAGUUUUCAAUUGCAAACGAAUCUCACCACCUUUAGCAAUCUACAUCAUUCUUACAAAGAAUAAAUCAAAAUUAAGAUAAAUUCAUAGAUUAUAAGUCAUAAUAAUUAAAUCAUUUUUAGUGACUUAAGUUGCAAACAAAACUUUAAAGUACCAAAUCAUUAUUAAUUAAUAGACUUACAUUAAAUUUAUCAACCAUGUGUUUAUGUAGUAACAAGUUGCUAUGUAUACAUGUAGGCCACUCGCAUUUAACUUUAUCAAUUUCUCCUUGAGUGUAAAUUUCAAUUCUGUAAAAAUAAAAAUUAAGAAGUAUAUUACUCUAGUUCCAAACUACAAAAAUAAGUAUUUGAUAAUAAACGACAUACAUUUUCCAAAAUAGAGAAAAUCACAAAGCUUUUAAGCUUCUAAAUCACAAAUUAUAGGUAAAGCAAUUUAGAAUUGAAAUAUACUAUAGCAAUGAUGACUUACAUCCGCUAUUUGCAUAGACUAUCACUCAAAUCUAGUGAUUCGAUAUUCUCAAUUGAUGAAAAUAUGCAACAUGUCUAAAAUAAAUCUUGCAUGCUAACACAAUAAUAAAUAUUGAAAAAAGAAUUUGUACCUUUGCCCCUGGUCAAUUUGAUAAUGAUCUCAAAAAUUUUGAUGGCCAUGAGAAAAUUAACUAACGACCAACGCUUUAUUAUUGAUGUUGUCGGAGGAUUACCAAAUUGAGAAGGAAAUGCUAAAUUCUUGAAUGGCGUUGAGAACUUAAAAAUCUGAAAUGGAACAUUUAAAAUAGAAAGUAAAUAUAAUUAUCAAUACUCAAAGAUAGUCCACGCUUUAUUGCUUAAAAACUUGAGUGGAAAACCCAGCAAAAAAGAAAAGCAAAAACAGUGCAAUUUCACUGGUAUUUUUGCUGCUGUCAUGCAGUAAAAACAUAGUAGUCUUACUGCAAAGUUUUUGCAGCUGUUUUGACUGUAUAACAGCGGGCAAAAACAGCAAAAGAAACUACAAUUUGGCUGCUGUUUUUACUGUUGUCAUGCAGUAAAAUAGAGCAGUCUUGCUGCAAAGAUUUUGCAGCUGUUUUGACUGUACAACAACAGCAAAAAGAACUAUAAUUUGGCUGCUGUUUUUACCGCUGUCAUGCGGUAAAGCAGAGCUGCUGUUUUGACUGUAUAACAGCAGGUAAAACAGAAAAAAAAACUGUAAUUUGGCUGCAGUAAAAACAACAGAAAAACUAUAAUUUGGCUGCUGUUUUUACUGUUAUCAUGCAGCGAAAAUACAGCAGUCUCACUGCAAAAAUUUUACUGCUGUUCUUACUGUAUAAAAAUAGCAAUACAUCACCUUAAAUAAGAGAAAAAAAUUCUUUCAGCUACUACACAUUUAAUUUAAUUUAACUUAAAUCCUUCAUAUUGUAGAGAGUGAGAGAUUGAUUCUAUAGAAUAAAGAGAAAUUAAGAUAAUUCAUAUAUUAUAAGCCAGUAUCUUCACCAUGACUGGCAACUUCCACAAGCAAUUCAUUUGCUCUUUUCCAUGAGGACUCAUCAGAACUGAAUAAGCAAACAACACCAUUAUAAAAGAAUGAAUAUAUGUCUGAUAUGAAAUGAGCAAAACCUAGGUUAUGAGCAGCACAUAAAUGCAAAAAGAAAAAGGGAAUGUCUUUCUCUGUAAAUACAUGUAGAUAGAUGUUUGCAGAUGCAUGCAAGGGAAAAAAGAAUGUCUUUCUACAUUCUCAAGGCUCCAAUUGAAGCACUAACAGGUACAUUUAUGCAAAAAUAUAAGAAGAAAAAUAAUGUAUGAUACCUGUAGUCCCUGAGGAGUAAGCAAAUGUAUUUCGAUACGUGUACAUUUCCUGAAAGAAGAUUGAACUAUAAAUAGACUGCCAAUGGAUCAAAAUGCACUUUCAACACAAAAUCCAAUUAAAUUUGAAGAUGGCGCAAAACAAUUAGUUGAAAAUUGUACUCGUGACACCGGAAUGAAUCGCAUAACAAUUCUUUCACAGAGCUUUCAGCAACCAUAUAGCUCAAAAAUCAGAUAGCAGCAUACACUAAAUGGGAACAAUUUUUUUUAUCAAUUACAUUAGUAUAAGUCCAAUGCAGGGAAAAAAAUGCACUUUCAAAAUGAAUUACAACUUAAUAACAACAACAAUCAACUAAAAAGUAAGCAAGAAUCAUAGACAAACAAUUUAUAAACCAAAUGAGAUGAAAAUUUCUUUAUUAAAUUAAUAGAAGGUCAGUUGACAGGAAAUAAAGAGAACAAACAAUAAUUAGAUGAAUCAAAACCCUAGAGCAAGAAAAUACAAUAAGAAGGAAGCAUCUGAAACAAGAAAAUGAAAUCAACAGCUCACUGUCUCCCGCGGCCGGCGCGAUGGCUACGGUUGAACGAGCUACAAUGACAACUGCUGUCGAUGAGGUAGCUGAAUCACGAUCAUUGCCGCGAACUAGCUAGGACUCUGAAUCACGACCACGAUCUGCCCUACGAGCUAAUAAAAAAAAUUGAAUCGAUUGGCAGCAGUGGAUGGUGCGUGACUGAUGGGCUGACGAUAGUGAAAUUGACAGAGUGAGACGAUGAGACUGGAGAGGGAGAUGGUGAGACCGUGAGAAAGAGAGAGGGAGACCAACGAUGCAGAGAGUGAAAGUGAGCAUGAAAGAGAGAGAGACCGGAGAUGGAGAGAAUGAGAGUGAGCGUAAGAGACAGACAGACCGAAGAUGGAGAGGAGAGUAAGCGGGUGAGAGAGGGGGGCGUGGCUGCUGCUGUGCUUGUAGAAUUAGAAAGGGGGAUUGCCACUUUCCCCCAACAUAAAUUAACAUAUAUCAUUUAUUCUUCUAUUAUUUUUAUAAUGGUUAAAAAUUAUUAUAAUAGAAUAAAUUUAUAAUAUUACUUUUAUUUUUAAUUACUCUUUUAUUUAUAUUUAUUAUAAAUUAAAUAGAUUACAUGAAUAGAAACUAAAUAAAAAAUUAAGAAUUAAAAACAAGAAAUAUAUGUUUUGAUAUGAGCAAAAAAAUUAAUAAUAACUUUUUUUUUAUAAUUAUUUAUUUUGUGAAUAUUUUCUUAUAAUAAAUAUUUUGUAAUAUUUUAAAAUUAAAUGUAAAAAGUAUAGGUAAAAUAUUUUAUUAUUUAUCUUAUAAUAAAUUUUUAUUUGUCAUUCAAAUUUUAUUAUAAUAAUUUUUUUAUCAUUUUAUAAUAACUUUCUUAUAUAUUUAUUAUAAAAAAAAUUUCACAAAAUAAAUAAGUACAAGAAAAAAAUUUUAUUAUUAAUUUUUUUCUUAUAUCAAAACAUAUAUUUCUUUUUUUUAAUGCUUAAUUUUUUAUUUAGUUUCUAUUAAUAUGAUUUAUUUAAUUUAUAAUAAAUAUAAAUAAAAGAGUGGUUGAAAAUAAGGGUAAUAUUAUAAACUUAUAUUGUCAUGGAGGUUUUUGGCUAUUAUAAAAACAACAUGGGUGAAAAUGGUAUAUGUUCAUUACUGUAGGGGAGAAAUUGGCAAUCUCCCAAUUAGAAAUUAGGUCAUGAUUUUUUUUUAGCCGAUUAAGAUUUUUUAUAUAAAUGUUUUACAUAUAAUGACGGUUACAUCCAAAACCGUCAUUGUUAUUUUUUACUUAAAUGGCGGUUCUUUACAACCGUCAUUAAUACUUUAAUAAGACAUAUAAUGUCAGAUUUUUAUAUAUAAUCGUAGUUAAAAAUCAGGUUAUAUUUUAUUUUGAUGUUUAAUGACAGUUAUAUAAUAGAACCGUUAUUAUAAAUAUUAUAUUUUUAAUGACAGUUUUUACACAAAAUCGUCAUUAAAAGUAACUAAAAGUAAAACUAUAUUUUAACUUGACACUUAAUGAUUGUUAUAUAAUUUAACCGUCGUUGUAAAUAUUACACAUUAAUGACUAUUUUUAUACAGAAUUGUCAUUAAAAGUAAUUUUACCUAGACAUUUAAUAAUUGUUAUAUAAUAAAAUGGUCAUUGUAAAUAUUAGAUAUUAUGACGGUUCAUAUAAUAACGGUUAUCAAAUACUUUUAAUGACGGUUGUAAAGAAAAACCGUCAUAAUAUAUGGGCAUUGUUUUGCAUUUUUGUAUUCGUGUUUUUACCCAAGGGUUUGGGGUUAAUUCACUAUAAGAAAACAAGUAAUAGAUGACAGACAUUUUGUGACAGAUUCGUAAAAAAUUUAUUUAUAUUAUAAAAAUAUGAUAGACUCGUGAUAUAAUUUCAGUUCUGGAUUAAUGAUGAUUUUAUGAUAAAAUUAUUGUCUAUCAAGAAUUCAUUUAUACAAAUUUAUUCCAUCAAGAAAUUAUGGUAAUUUCAAUAUAAUUUGUGCUGCUACUUAAUUAUUCAUUUUUUUUCCCACUUUGUGUCUGUAUGUGUGUGUGUUCUUGUAGUGUUUGUGAACGGGAAGUUCUGCAAGGACCCCAAGCUUGCGAGAGCUGAAGAUUUCUUCUUCUCAGGGCUAGACAAGCCUGGCAACACAGCAAAUCGACUUGGUGUUGAUGAAACAGAUGCAAAUGUUGAGCAGAUUCCAGGACUCAACACCCUUGGCAUAUCAGCAUUCCGCGUUGACUAUGCGCCAUACGGCCAAAGGCCACCUCACAUUCACCCCCGGGCCAGUGAAAUCCUGCUGGUCCUGGAAGGAACUCUUCAUGUCGGUUUUGUGACAUCAGACCAGCUAAAUAACAAACUCAUCGCAAAAGUUCUGAAUAAGGGAGAUGUUUUUGUGUUUCCAAAAGGUUUGAUUUACUUCCAAUUUAACAUUGGAAAAACAAAAGCAGUUGCCUAUUCUGCUCUAAACAGCCAGUUCCCCGGUGAAAUUACCAUAGCCGACACGGUCUUUGGAACUUUUGCGAUGAGUUUGUUAUUUAGCUGGUCUGAUGUCACAAAACCGACAUGAAGAGUUCCUUCCAGGACCAGCAGGAUUUCACUGGCAUGGGGGUGAAUGUGAGGUGGCCUUUGGCCGUAUGGCGCAUAGUCAAUGCGGAAUGCUGAUAUGCCAAGGGUGUUGAGUCCUGGAAUCUGCUCAACAUUUGCAUCUGUUUCAUCAACACCAAGUCGAUUUGCUGUGUUGCCAGGCUUGUCUAGCCCUGAGAAGAAGAAAUCUUCAGCUCUCGCAAGCUUGGGGUCCUUGCAGAACUUCCCGUUCACAAACACU
This 34248-nucleotide long non-coding RNA is filed under the name Citrus maxima (pomelo). RNAcentral describes it as "long non-coding RNA (CMAX_LNC002510)". The record is from RNAcentral. Lineage: Eukaryota; Viridiplantae; Streptophyta; Magnoliopsida; Sapindales; Rutaceae.